GGGUAAGUUCCGACCUGCACGAAUGGCGUAACGACUUGGGCGCUGUCUCGACCACAGACUCGGCGAAAUUGCACUACGAGUAAAGAUGCUCGUUACGCGCAGCAGGACGGAAAGACCCCGUGACCUUUACUACAGCUUGGUAUUGGUGUUCGGUGUGGCUUGUGUAGGAUAGGUGGGAGACUGUGAAGCUAUCACGCCAGUGGUGGUGGAGUCGUUGUUGAAAUACCACUCUGGUCGAAUUGGGUGUCUCAACCUCGGGCCAUGAUCUGGUUCAGGGACAGUGCCUGGUGGGUAGUUUAACUGGGGCGGUUGCCUCCCAAAGAGUAACGGAGGCGCCCAAAGGUUCCCUCAGCCUGGUUGGCAAUCAGGUGUUGAGUGUAA
This 381-nucleotide ribosomal RNA is filed under the name Durinskia baltica. RNAcentral's name for it is "partial Bacterial large subunit ribosomal RNA". It matches the Rfam family "Bacterial large subunit ribosomal RNA", at positions 1974 to 2354 of the family's 2925-position model. Lineage: Eukaryota; Dinophyceae; Peridiniales; Kryptoperidiniaceae. The record is from RNAcentral.